Molecule: small RNA, 482 nt
Filed under: Pan troglodytes (chimpanzee)
Lineage: Eukaryota; Metazoa; Chordata; Mammalia; Primates; Hominidae
Description: processed transcript
Source: RNAcentral
GGAAAGAAUGGAUUUUUCUCCUUGAGAUCCUGUGAUAUGAAUAUUACACUCGUAAGGCAUAUCAACAGAUGACUUAAGGGGGGAAAAGCGAUCCUGAAAGAUACUUGAAAUCAACAGGAAAGAGAGGUUCUUGAUCGCUGCAGCAAAUGGCAACUUGUGCAGUUACAAAUUAUAAUACUGUGGUAGAAACAAAUUCAGAUUCAGAUGAUGAAGACAAACUGCAUAUUGUGGAAGAAGAAAGUGUUACAGAUGCAGCUGACUGUGAAGGUGUACCAGAGGAUGACCUGCCAACAGACCAGACAGUGUUACCAGGGAGGAGCAGUGAAAGAGAAGGGAAUGCUAAGAACUGCUGGGAGGAUGACAGAAAGGAAGGGCAAGAAAUCCUGGGGCCUGAAGCUCAGGCAGAUGAAGCAGGAUGUACAGUAAAAGAUGAUGAAUGCGAGUCAGAUGCAGAAAAUGAGCAAAACCAUGAUCCUAAUGUU